RNAcentral lists this ribosomal RNA (2921 nucleotides) under Lactiplantibacillus plantarum. RNAcentral describes it as "23S ribosomal RNA". It matches the Rfam family "Bacterial large subunit ribosomal RNA". The record is from RNAcentral. Lineage: Bacteria; Bacillati; Bacillota; Bacilli; Lactobacillales; Lactobacillaceae.
GGUUAAGUUAACAAGGGCGCAUGGUGAAUGCCUUGGCACUAGGAGCCGAUGAAGGACGGGACUAACACCGAUAUGCUUCGGGGAGCUGUACGUAAGCUAUGAUCCGGAGAUUUCCGAAUGGGGCAACCCAGCAGUUUUAAUCAACUGUUACCACUAGAUGAAUUCAUAGUCUAGUUGGAGGUAAACGCUGUGAACUGAAACAUCUCAUUAGCAGCAGGAAUAUAAAGAAAUUUCGAUUCCCUAAGUAGCGGCGAGCGAACGGGGAACAGCCCAAACCAAAGUGCUUGCACUUUGGGGUUGUAGGACUGAACAUUUGAGUUACCAAAGAACUUGAUAGUCGAAGGAUUUGGGAAAAUCCGCCAUAGAUGGUGAUAGCCCAGUAGAUUAAAUCAAAUUCUCUCAGUUCAGGAUCCUGAGUACGGCGGAACACGUGAAAUUCCGUCGGAAUCCGGGAGGACCAUCUCCCAAGGCUAAAUACUACCUAGUGACCGAUAGUGAACCAGUACCGUGAGGGAAAGGUGAAAAGCACCCCGGGAGGGGAGUGAAAUAGUUCCUGAAACCAUGUGCCUACAAUAAGUCAGAGCGCGUUAAUGCGUGAUGGCGUGCCUUUUGUAGAAUGAACCGGCGAGUUAUGAUCCCGUGCAAGGUUAAGACUAAAAAGUCGGAGCCGUAGCGAAAGCGAGUCUGAAAUGGGCGUUUUGAGUACGAGGUUAUAGACCCGAAACCAGGUGACCUAUCCAUGUCCAGGUUGAAGGUGCGGUAAAACGCACUGGAGGACCGAACCCGUGUAAGUUGAAAAUUGCUGGGAUGAGGUGUGGAUAGCGGUGAAAUUCCAAACGAACUUGGAGAUAGCUGGUUCUCUCCGAAAUAGCUUUAGGGCUAGCCUCGGAAUUAGGAUCAUGGAGGUAGAGCACUAUUUGGACUAGGGGCCCGUCUUGGGUUACUGAAUUCAGAUAAACUCCGAAUGCCAUUGAUUCAUAUCCGGGAGUCAGACGAUGAGUGAUAAGAUCCACCGUCGAAAGGGGAACAGCCCAGACCAUCAGUUAAGGUCCCUAAAUGUAUGCUAAGUGGAAAAGGAUGUGGAGUUGCAUAGACAACUAGGAUGUUGGCUCAGAAGCAGCCACCAUUUAAAGAGUGCGUAAUAGCUCACUAGUCGAGUGAUCCUGCGCCGAAAAUGUACCGGGGCUAAGCAUACUACCGAAACCAUGGAUGCGACCAUUAGGUCGCGUGAUAGGAGAGCGUUCUAAGGGCGGUGAAGCAAGAUCGUGAGGACUUGUGGAGCGCUUAGAAGUGAGAAUGCCGGUAUGAGUAGCGAAAGAUAGGUGAGAAUCCUAUCCACCGAAUGACUAAGGUUUCCUGGGGAAGGCUCGUCCUCCCAGGGUUAGUCGGGACCUAAGUCGAGGCCGAGAGGCGUAGACGAUGGAUAACAGGUUGAGAUUCCUGUACUAGUUAAGUGCGUUUGAGCAAUGGAGGGACGCAGGAGGCUAAGAUGUGCAUUCUGUUGGAUUAGAAUGUCCAAGCAGUAAGUCUUGUGAAGAGUCAAAUGCUUUUCACUUUAAGGACAAGCUGUGAUGGGGAGCGAAAUUUAGUAGCGAAGCGUCUGAUGUCACACUGCCGAGAAAAGCUUCUAGUGAGUACUUAACUACCCGUACCGCAAACCGACACAGGUAGUCGAGGAGAGAAUCCUAAGGUGAGCGAGUGAACUCUCGUUAAGGAACUCGGCAAAAUGACCCCGUAACUUCGGGAGAAGGGGUGCUGAUCGCAAGAUCAGCCGCAGUGAAUAGGCCCAGGCGACUGUUUAUCAAAAACACAGGUCUCUGCAAAAUCGUAAGAUGACGUAUAGGGGCUGACGCCUGCCCGGUGCUGGAAGGUUAAAAGGAUGGGUUAGCUUCGGCGAAGCUCAGAAUUGAAGCCCCAGUAAACGGCGGCCGUAACUAUAACGGUCCUAAGGUAGCGAAAUUCCUUGUCGGGUAAGUUCCGACCCGCACGAAAGGCGUAACGAUCUGGGCACUGUCUCAACGAGAGACUCGGUGAAAUUAUAUUGUCCGUGAAGAUGCGGACUACCCGCGACAGGACGGAAAGACCCCAUGGAGCUUUACUGUAGCUUGAUAUUGAGUGUUUGUACAGCUUGUACAGGAUAGGUAGGAGCCAUAGAAACCGGAACGCUAGUUUCGGUGGAGGCGUUGGUGGGAUACUACCCUCGCUGUAUGACCACUCUAACCCGCACCACUAAUCGUGGUGGGAGACAGUGUCAGGUGGGCAGUUUGACUGGGGCGGUCGCCUCCUAAAAAGUAACGGAGGCGCCCAAAGGUUCCCUCAGAAUGGUUGGAAAUCAUUCGCAGAGUGUAAAGGCACAAGGGAGCUUGACUGCGAGACAGACAGGUCGAGCAGGGACGAAAGUCGGGCUUAGUGAUCCGGUGGUACCGUAUGGAAGGGCCAUCGCUCAACGGAUAAAAGCUACCCUGGGGAUAACAGGCUUAUCUCCCCCAAGAGUCCACAUCGACGGGGAGGUUUGGCACCUCGAUGUCGGCUCAUCGCAUCCUGGGGCUGUAGUCGGUCCCAAGGGUUGGGCUGUUCGCCCAUUAAAGCGGUACGCGAGCUGGGUUCAGAACGUCGUGAGACAGUUCGGUCCCUAUCCGUCGCGGGCGUAGGAAAUUUGAGAGGACCUGUCCUUAGUACGAGAGGACCGGGAUGGACAUACCUCUGGUGUACCAGUUGUGCCGCCAGGCGCAUCGCUGGGUAGCUACGUAUGGAUGUGAUAAACGCUGAAAGCAUCUAAGUGUGAAACACACCUCGAGAUGAGAUUUCCCAUUCCUUUAUGGAAGUAAGACCCCUGAAAGAUGAUCAGGUAGAUAGGUUAGAAGUGGCAGUGCGGUGACGCAUGAAGCUUACUAAUACUAAUCGGUCGAGGACUUAACCAA